This is a long non-coding RNA of Cavia porcellus (domestic guinea pig), 7624 nucleotides long. RefSeq lists it as uncharacterized. The transcript has 2 exons. NCBI's taxonomy places the organism in Eukaryota, Metazoa, Chordata, Mammalia, Rodentia, Caviidae. The record is from RefSeq and is a predicted model, not a curated record.
UUCAUUUUUAAAGAUUUUUUAAAAAUUUUAAAGAGAAAAAAAGCAAAAUAGAAAAAAGGGUAGAAAUAAUAAUUUCCAAAAAAAUGAACAAUAAGAAAUCACUGGUUGAUAAAUUACAUAUUGUCAUCUUAGAAAUAGUUGUUAAAGCUACAAAAUUAAAGCAUAUAAAGUGGAAAUUCAAAAAGUGAGACUGCAAACAGUCUCAGGAAUCCCUGAGCCUUAUCUGUGUUAUAUGUAUAUCCCAUACCCCACCUUCCAGUCAGAGGGACCCAGGCCAUCUAUGGUCAUGGACUUCUAUCCACGUCCUCAGAAUAAAGGCUGUUUUUUUUUUUUUUUUACUUUAUAUUCUCUCUUCACUGCACCAAAAACUCUUUCAAUGCAAUUAAUCAGAACAAAGCCAAACAGCAAUAAAAAUGUUUGCCUUCAAAGAGAUGGUAGAAGGAAAUUCCCUUUAUUUUCUAUGUUGCAUAGAUCAACCUCCCAAGAGAUACUCAGAUCUCUGGCUCCCAUUUGCUAAUGGGGGGAAGGGAGGAUGGGGUGUUUGAUUCUCAGCCCACAUGCAAGUAGACUCAUGGCCACAUUCCAGGGAGGGGAAGUGGUUGCUUGGUUUCCCAGAGCUCCAAGAUCCAACAUGGCAUGGAUCUUGGGAGACAUUGGUGGUUGUCUCCCUGGGGUGGACACAGCUUGCCUGAGCCACAGCCACUUAUUAGGGAGGCAAGAUGAUGGCUUGGUUUCCCAGCACCCCCACUUCCAACAUGGCAUGGAUCUCGGGAGACACUGAUGGUUGUGCUCCUGGGGCUGCCGCAGCUUGCCCAAGCCCUAGCCACUUAUUAGGGAGGUGAGCUCUUCCACUUAUUUUUAUAAUAGCAGUUACACAUUUUGGGUUUUGGGUUUUAUUACUUCUGAACUACAGUUCUUAUUACUAUUUACACUAGAGACACAAUGUGAUAUUCAUAAAUGUAUUUCUUAUUUAUUUCACUUAUGAGGAUAAUCUCAAGUUGCCUUCAUUUACUUAUGAAGGCCUCAAGAUAAUUCUUUUUUAUAGCUGAGUAAUAUUCCAUUGUAAAAAAUACCACAUCUUUUUCAUUCAUUCUGCAUUUGAUGGGCAUUUUGUUGUUUUCUACAUUAAGCUAUUGUUCAUUGGGCUGCUAUGAACAUGGGUGCACAUAUUUCAAUGUGACAUGACCUUUUCAGUUUUCCUAGGAAAAUAUCCAGGAGAGGAUUGGCUGGAUUGAAUGGAACUUCCAAUCCCAGGCUUCUGAGAAAUCUGAAUUCUGAUUUAGAUAGUAGCCACACAAGUCGACCCUCAUUAACAGUGGAGCAGUGUUCUUUUCCCCCAGCAGCUUCACCAACAUUUGAUUUCUUGAUGGUAGCUAUUCUUUCCAAAGUGAGAUGAAAUCUCAAUGCUGUUUUAAUGUGCAUCUAAAAAUGACCAGUGAUGGUGAACAUUUCUUCAUAUAUUUAUUUUCCAUUUACAUAUCUUCAUCUGAGAAAUGUAUAUUCGUCUCCAAUGUCCAUUUUUGGAGAGGGUCUUUUAAUUUGGGGGUCUUGAUGUUUUUCAGUUCUUUAUAUGUUCUGGAUAUAAGUACUUUGUCUGAGAGGUUCUAGCUAAAAUUCUUUCCCAUUCUUUGGGUUUUCCUUUCACUCUGUUGGUGAUUUCUUUUGAAGUGAAAAAUCUUUACCAUAAGAUGAGAUCCUGUGAGAGUUGACCCCCCUGCUAUAGCCCCCUCCCCGAGUUAUAAAAAGCAGCAAAGAAUGUUUCAUUCCCUAACUCCCCAGAGCCGGGAAUGAAAGGGUUAACUCCCUAACUCCCCAGAGCAGGGAAAUAAAAGGGUUAACUCCCUAGCUCCCCAGAGCUAUCAGAGCAGAGCAGAAAGAAAUGCCUAACUCCCCAGAGCUAUCAGAGCAGAGAAAAAAAAAAAAGAAAGAAUGCACCUGCAAGGUCGUUCUGUCUCAACGAGAUAAGUAAGACAAGUAACUGUUCUGUUCUGGGCACAUAGUGACUGGGCUAGGACCCCCAGUCUCCAUGGUUACUCAACCCCAAACCCCUCCAAUCAAUUUCUGCCAAAUCCUAUGCUGCUCAAAAUUAACCAAUGCGAUUUGCUUCUGUAAACUUGCUUGCCUCCCGCUUGUACCCUUAAAAACCCUACACAAAUUCCCCUCGAGGCCCUCCGCACUUGUUUGCCUGGGGGACCCCAUGCGCAUGGAAAUAAACUUUUUACUCCUCACUACGAGCUGAGUCCUUGGGGUCUUCUCCCCUGCGACACCGGUUCUUACAUAUGGAGGCCCCAGCGAGAUAGUACGUCUCAUGGGAGACGACCUCAACGGCUCCGCCUUACACCGCGGGUGAGUACGACCGGUCACUUUUGUUUACUUUCAUUUUGAGAUCGAUCUACCAGUACUUUACACCCCAAGCCGAGCGGCUCCAAUCUAGGGGCAAUUUCUGUUAUCUGUUCUCUGGUGACCGGGGGACGCCCCACACGGUUUUCCGUGACUCACCAUCUGCGAUAGGAUUUUCCUAUCGGUCUGGGGAAUUUCAUUCCCAAUCUGUGGUCCUUCUGGGCCAGUCUGGGGAAUUUCAUUCCCAAUCUGUGGUCCUUCUGGGCCAGUCUGGGGAAUUUCAUUCCCAAUCUGUGGUCCUUCUGGGCCAAUCUGGGGAAUUUCAUUCCCAAUCUGUGGUCCUUCUGGGCCAGUCUGGGGAAUUUCAUUCCCAAUCUGUGGUCCUUCUGGGCCAGUCUGGGGAAUUUCAUUCCCAAUCUGUGGUCCUUCUGGGCCAGUCUGGGGAAUUUCAUUCCCAAUCUGUGGUCCUUCUGGGCCAAUCUGGGGAAUUUCAUUCCCAAUCUGUGGUCCUUCUGGGCCAAUCUGGGGAAUUUCAUUCCCAAUCUGUGGUCCUCUGGGCCAAUCUGGGGAAUUUCAUUCCCAAUCUGUGGUCCGUCUGGGCCAAUCUGGGGAAUUUCAUUCCCAAUCUGUGGUCCGUCCGGGCCAAUCUGGAGGCACCCCCUAAGGUGACUCAUUUGGUGUGAAACUCAUGCGUGAGAGUGAGGUGGCCGGCCUGUUUGUCCUGUGUGUUGUGACUGUUGUGAUCGGUUAUUUGUUGUGUCGCGCGUACGCUAACCACUCUUUGUCUUCAGAACACCAUGGGACAAACGACAUCGUCCCCAUUGUCCCUCACCCUCGACCAUUGGUCAGAGGUUUGAGAGAGGGCUCACAAUCUCUCCUUACAGGUUAAAAAAGUAAAUGACAGACUUUCUGCUCGUCUGAGUGGCCCACAUUCUCCGUGGGUUGGCCACCAGAGGGGACUUUCCACCUUCCCCUCAUCUUAGCAAUUAAGAACAUCAUCUUCCGCCCCGGACGAAGAGGGCCACCCGGACCAGCAUGCCUACAUCUUGGUAUGGCAGGACCUCAGGAAAGAGCCCCCACCGUGGGUAAAACCCUUCCUUCCUCCGCCCUCUCCUUGGUUGCCUGUUUAAACUUGUUACUAACUUAGGGGCUUGUUGCCCAUUUCUGUUGCAGGAUCCAUAUGGCUUAUUAGAUUCAAGGUUCAUGAUAAGAAAAAUUAUUUCUUUUAGCUGACCAAACUAUGCAAGAAGCUCCCUUUGUUUGUGUCUUUAAUGUUGUGGCAUCUUGUUUAAUAUGUAAGACUUCAAUUGAUUGCUUGCAACCUCAACAUACCUUUUAAAAGGAGUAUUUUUUCCUCUCUGAUAAAAAUGUAAACAUGUGCACAUAUAUAUGUAUAUCUAUGGUUAUUAAGAAUCAUAUCAACUUUACCAAGUAAAAACCAGGUCAUACUAUAUUUGAGCCAGUUAAAAGGUUACAGUUUUGUUUUUAAAAUACAGCAUUUUUAUGUGGUAAAAAGACAUAAAAUAAGUAUGUUUUAGACUACUAAAAGGUGACUUCAAGGGUUUUGUUGAGAGUUUUGAUGUUGUCUGAGAAAUGAAAAAAAAGGUAAUUGACUGGUAAUAGUAAAAAGAGGGACAAAGAGAGUGGUCUUCAAGUAAAGGUGUCUGGCUAUGCCAGAAUGUAAAAAAAGAUUAAAGCUUAGUUUGAGAGGUAUUAUUGUAAGUUAUAAAAGGCUCAAGAGGAUGUGAAUUUUAUUUGUCUUGGUUUAUAGUACUACAAAUAACAGGUUUGACAAAAAGUAAAUGUGUUCAGAAUUUGACAGUAUUAGAUCAGUUUUGAUAAAAGUAUACAUAAGAUUGUACUUUGCUACAAAAUGUUUCCAUUAAAAUGAGAUUAUAGGUGAUACUACAAAUAAGAUACAAGUUCUUACAUGUACUGUGAACAUCUGGGAGAUUAUGCAGCACAAUUUUGUUACCUAUAAAAAAGCCCUUUCUGUUAAGAAUAUAAUUUUAAUAAAAUGAUGGCCUGCCACGUGACACCCUUGGACAAAAAACAGUGUGCCAUCCAGAUAAAGCCGGCUCUCUGAUCCGGAAUGCCAAAACCAUGUUCUCCUUUUGUGCCACCCUGACUGGACAUCCAGAGCCCUGCUUCUAGACCCAGAGUCAAUGAUAUUCAAGACUUCUUCAGCUUUAAACCCAGCCACCCUUAUGCCUGAUGAUGACCUGGAGGAACAAAGGACACCUCUCCAUGAGUGUGCUGACAUCCUCAAACUGCAGCGGAACCUACAGGCUGAUCUUACUGACCAGCUUUUGGAAAAUGCCCACAACUGUUCGAUGGAAGCAGCUUCAUCCAGAACGGCAGAGACAGAUGAGUGGCCGGGACAACAGUGACCACCAAAAAGGAGGUACUCUGGGUUAAAGGGUUAGAGCCUAGCACCUCUGCCCAAAAGGCGGAGCUCAUUGCUUUGACUGAUGUACUAAAACUAGCCACGAAAAAGAGGGUAAACAUCUAUACUGAUAGUACAUAUGCUUUUGCUACUAUACAUAUACAUAGAGCCAUCUAUUAAGAGCGAGGUCUCUUAACCUUGGCCAGAGCUAAGAUUAAAAAAAAAAAAAAAAGAGGGCUCCACAAAUCCUAAAUUUGCUGGCAGCAGUCUGGCUGUCAGCAGAUUGCUGCUAUUCACCUGAGGAAACAAUUUGGCAGAUCAGGCCGCUAAAAGAAUAACAAUCACAUCAGAGAGGCCAGCCAAAAAAAAAAAAAAAGUAACUGCUCUGACGCGAGUCCCCCCGACCUUAUCAAAACCAGUCUACACAAAAAAGACUACACUGGUUGUUGUGAGCCAUCUAACGGAUUCCAGUCCCUGUGACUAAAAGACAAGUACAAAAUUUCUAAGAGCCACAGGACUGAUCCAAAGUUUGGGACCCUGGCAGAGGCCUGUUGUCUACCUUUCCAAGAGACUUGGUUCUGUGGCAACCAGAUGGCCACCCUGUCUGCGGUGAUUUCUUCAAUGGCCCCCUCAUAAAGGAGGCUUAAAAAUUGACUUUUGGACACAAACUCUUAAUUGUUUCCUCCUAUUCACUGGAGACUCUCAUCAAGGCCCCACCAGACUGAUGGAUGUCUAAUUCCUGAGCCAUACAUUAUCAGGCACUAUUUCUAGAAACAACAGCUUCAAACUCGGCUACUUUGCUGCCUGAGGAUGACCCCUCGUUGCCUCAUUGAUCACCUCACGAAACAUCGACCUUAUGUAGUUGAUAAGCUACUGUCUAGAGUUCCAUCCUACUUCUCUGAUGAAAACAGUUAUGUCUCUCAAGAGCCCAUUUGCACUUAAAAAGACCAACAUCUGACAGCUCAACUUCCAAGAGAUUCCGGGGGCUAAUAUCAAGCUAGCCCAGUCUGUGAGCUUCAGAUGCCCUCAGUGCCAAUUGGUAAAUCUAAAAGUACUACAACAAAUAAAAACCACUGGUUAUCGUGGGACUAUGCCUAAAAACACUAAAAAAUAGAUUUUACAAAAAUAAAAAGCCUAAACUUCAAAAAUAUAAGUGUUUUCUACUUAGUCUGAGUCAGCUCUGAUAGCAGUUUCUCUGAUUUGGUCUCCCUUUUUAUCCGUGGGGUCCAACAAUGGCCUGGCUUUUAUAGCCUAGUAACUCAAAUUAACCUAAGCUUUACAGAUCAAUUAAAAAACUCGAUUGGGCUUACCAGCCUCAGAGUUCAAAAAAAGGUAAAAAGAUAAGUUAGAUUUUAAAGACUAUAAUUACUAAUGGCCUUAAAAACUGGCGAAAACUGGGUGAGUCUCUUUUCCUUCUGCCCCUUUACAUGCGUGAUACACCCCCUAUGUUACAGAUAUUUCCUCUUUUGAAGUUUUAUGUGAGGUUUCUAAAAAUUAGCUAAUUUAACUAAUCAAGAUCUUAUUAAGUCUCCCCAGACUUUUCAGCUAGCUGUGACUUCCAUCCACUGGUUACUUCGCUGCUGCCCACUGCAGCUAAAGAGCCUAGACACCUGGACAAGCGACCUCACCGUAAAUCUCUUGAGAGCGACCUCACCGUAAAUCUCUUGAGCCGCAAUAGAUUGUCAAAAUAGCUAAAAGCCUGCCUAAAUUCAACGUUCCCAAUGCAGACAAGUCCCAACUUCAAAAGACCGUCAGCCUACAAAUAAGUAAACUGUCAUUUCUUCCAAGGACACUUUAAAGCUUAAGAUUGUCUAAUAUAACUGAUAAUUUUAUGUUCUCCUCCUUUAUAGAGACCCCAAGGAGGCCUCUGUCUGACUUAAAAAUUGUUACUUAUAUGGUAAAACAGAGUAAAUUUAAAUGUUGGUUUUCUUUCUCCUUUUGGUUAACAGCUUUAAUGACAGCUACAAGACCUUUGUUAAUCCUCCUACUGGGCCUUAUGUUAUAAACAAGUUGAUAAACUAUGUCAAAGUUCUUAAAAGCUUGUAAUUUUAAAGACACAUACAAGGUUAUAAACAGAUGCAAUAAAAAAGCUAAGAAAAAAAAAAUUAAAUCUCAAGAGCCCCCUUCAAGUAAAGCCAAAAUGUUCUCCUUCUGGAAAUCAAUCCUGCCCUAUAUUCUCCCUUUACUGGGACCCCUGGCUGGAUUCAUUAUAGUCAUGGCUAUAGCCCCUUACCUCAUUAACCGAGUAACCCAGUUUGUGAGGGCUCAGAUCUCUCAAGUAAAGGUUAUGGUGCUACGUCAACAGUAUGACCCCUUACCAAUACAGGACCUUUAAGAUUAAAAGUCAUCGAAAAAAAAAGGGGGGGAAUGUGAGAGUUGACCCCCCUGCUAUAGCCCCCUCCCCGAGUUAUAAAAAGCAGCAAAGAAUGUUUCACUCCCUAACUCCCCAGAGCCGGGAAUGAAAGGGUUAACUCCCUAACUCCCCAGAGCAGGGAAAUAAAAGGGUUAACUCCCUAGCUCCCCAGAGCUAUCAGAGCAGAGCAGAAAGAAAUGCCUAACUCCCCAGAGCUAUCAGAGCAGAGAAAAAAAAAAAGAAAGAAUGCACCUGCAAGGUCGUUCUGUCUCAACGAGAUAAGUAAGACAAGUAACUGUUCUGUUCUGGGCACAUAGUGACUGGGCUAGGACCCCCAGUCUCCAUGGUUACUCAACCCCAAACCCCUCCAGUCAAUUUCUGCCAAAUCCUAUGCUGCUCAAAAUUAACCAAUGCGAUUUGCUUCUGUAAACUUGCUUGCCUCCCGCUUGUACCCUUAAAAACCCUACACAAAUUCCCCUCGAGGCCCUCCGCACUUGUUUGCCUGGGGGACCCCAUGCGCAUGGAAAUAAACUUUUUACUCCUCA